AGCGAACGCUGGCGGCAGGCUUAACACAUGCAAGUCGAACGGGCGUAGCAAUACGUCAGUGGCAGACGGGUGAGUAACGCGUGGGAACGUACCUUUUGGUUCGGAACAACACAGGGAAACUUGUGCUAAUACCGGAUAAGCCCUUACGGGGAAAGAUUUAUCGCCGAAAGAUCGGCCCGCGUCUGAUUAGCUAGUUGGUGAGGUAACGGCUCACCAAGGCGACGAUCAGUAGCUGGUCUGAGAGGAUGAUCAGCCACAUUGGGACUGAGACACGGCCCAAACUCCUACGGGAGGCAGCAGUGGGGAAUAUUGGACAAUGGGCGCAAGCCUGAUCCAGCCAUGCCGCGUGAGUGAUGAAGGCCCUAGGGUUGUAAAGCUCUUUUGUGCGGGAAGAUAAUGACGGUACCGCAAGAAUAAGCCCCGGCUAACUUCGUG
This 435-nucleotide ribosomal RNA is filed under the name uncultured bacterium. RNAcentral's name for it is "bacterial SSU rRNA". It matches the Rfam family "Bacterial small subunit ribosomal RNA", at positions 29 to 507 of the family's 1533-position model. The record is from RNAcentral.